RNAcentral lists this ribosomal RNA (170 nucleotides) under Hyphoderma obtusum. RNAcentral describes it as "partial large subunit ribosomal RNA". It matches the Rfam family "Eukaryotic large subunit ribosomal RNA", at positions 99 to 261 of the family's 3401-position model. The record is from RNAcentral. Lineage: Eukaryota; Fungi; Basidiomycota; Agaricomycetes; Polyporales; Hyphodermataceae.
CGGGAAAAGCUCAAAUUUAAAAUCUGGCAGUCUUUGGCUGUCCGAGUUGUAGUCUGGAGAAGCGUUUUCCGUGCUGGACCGUGUACAAGUCUCCUUGGAAUAGGGCGUCAUAGAGGGUGAGAAUCCCGUCUUUGACACGGACUGCCAGUGCUUUGUGAUGCGCUCUCAAA